RNAcentral lists this long non-coding RNA (920 nucleotides) under Homo sapiens (human). Its description in RNAcentral is "non-protein coding HOXA11-AS:19". The stretch from base 424 to 656 matches the Rfam family "HOXA11 antisense RNA 1 conserved region 4". The record is from RNAcentral. Lineage: Eukaryota; Metazoa; Chordata; Mammalia; Primates; Hominidae.
AUCCCACCUUCUGUCCUUGGAGAAACUCCCUCCUCCUCGCUGCCUGCCGGGCUUCGGAGUGACUCGGCAGAGACAGAGGCACAGGGGCUGCCCUGCUGCUCACCGGUCCACCCAUCUGCCUGGUCUUCUGGAGCUGAGGACUCGGGAAACCAUGCAAUUGAGGCAAGCCUUGGGCUGCUUUAGAGGCGCUGACAUCCGAGGAGACUUCUCCUGGGAUUGAAGGAGCAAUGUUUGGAGGAAGCGAAAGAAAGGAGAGGACACAGAGCACAGAGCAGCCAGGCAGAGCCAGGAGCUGAGAAGGGCCCAGACCUGAGGCCUCCCAACAACUCUCUUCUUGGAAGGAUCUGGGAUGUUGCUGAAGGAAAAUAAAAAAAUAUGUAAAAAGAUAACCUUUUGUUUUUCCCUCUCCAGGAAAUAGCCAAAGUUAUUUACAUAUCUUGGGGAGAUUUAGAGUAUAAACUCUAAGAUCUUUGGUAUUUAAGUGUCAACAUCGAUUUAUUUAUUUAUUGCUGAGCUGACUGUAACUGACUCAAUAACAAAUCUAAUCGUGUAUUGCACUGGAAAAGAAAUAUUCUUAUUAUGUAUUUUCUCCAAAUAAUGGCCUACCAUUGCAUUUGAAUACCUGCUGUAAAUAUCAAUAAUAUGAAGUAAUUACUCUGUAGUCGAGUAAACUAAUUUAUUAGCAUUAAUGUUUAUGUGGCUCUCCACCUCCCCCCACCACCACCUUUACAAGGAUUGCUUAUCACAAAUCAAGCUACUUGGACACAUUGGUUUAAUGAACUCUUUAUUCAAGAUUUGCUACAAGAAUUUUCAUGUCCUUUGAAUCCCUGAGAACUGAACUUGAAAUUAUUUGUGCAUCUUCAGCUUGACAUAUUUGUCCACUGUGGCUUGUCCAGAGGGCAGCAGUGCUGUGAGUGAGA